GACGAACGCUGGCGGCGUGCCUAAUACAUGCAAGUAGAACGCACAGUUUAUACCGUAGCUUGCUACACCAUAAACUGUGAGUUGCGAACGGGUGAGUAACGCGUAGGUAACCUGCCUGGUAGCGGGGGAUAACUAUUGGAAACGAUAGCUAAUACCGCAUAAUAUUGAUUAUUGCAUGAUAAUUGAUUGAAAGAUGCUAUUGCAUCACUACCAGGUGGACCUGCGUUGUAUUAGCUAGUAGGUGAGGUAACGGCUCACCUAGGCGACGAUACAUAGCCGACCUGGGAGGGUGAUCGGCCACACUGGGACUGAGACACGGCCCAGACUCCUACGGGAGGCAGCGGUAGGGAAUCUUCGGCAAUGGACGAAAGUCUGACCGAGCAACGCCGCGUGAGUGAAGAAGGUUUUCGGAUCGUAAAGCUCUGUUGUAAGAGAAGAACGGGUGUGAGAGUGGAAAGUUCACACUGUGACGGUAUCUUACCAGAAAGGGACGGCUAACUACGUG
Molecule: ribosomal RNA, 505 nt
Filed under: uncultured bacterium
Lineage: Bacteria
Description: partial 16S ribosomal RNA
Rfam family: Bacterial small subunit ribosomal RNA
Source: RNAcentral